RNAcentral lists this long non-coding RNA (855 nucleotides) under Homo sapiens (human). RNAcentral's name for it is "long non-coding RNA NONHSAT192080.1". The record is from RNAcentral. Lineage: Eukaryota; Metazoa; Chordata; Mammalia; Primates; Hominidae.
CAAUAUCAGCACCAUGGCCUGGACUCCUCUCUUUCUGUUCCUCCUCACUUGCUGCCCAGGGUCCAAUUCUCAGACUGUGGUGACUCAGGAGCCCUCACUGACUGUGUCCCCAGGAGGGACAGUCACUCUCACCUGUGCUUCCAGCACUGGAGCAGUCACCAGUGGUUACUAUCCAAACUGGUUCCAGCAGAAACCUGGACAAGCACCCAGGGCACUGAUUUAUAGUACAAGCAACAAACACUCCUGGACCCCUGCCCGGUUCUCAGGCUCCCUCCUUGGGGGCAAAGCUGCCCUGACACUGUCAGGUGUGCAGCCUGAGGACGAGGCUGAGUAUUACUGCCUGCUCUACUAUGGUGGGACCUGGACUCUGACCCCCUGCCCCUCAUCCACCCCGCAGGUCAGCCCAAGGCUGCCCCCUCGGUCACUCUGUUCCCACCCUCCUCUGAGGAGCUUCAAGCCAACAAGGCCACACUGGUGUGUCUCAUAAGUGACUUCUACCCGGGAGCCGUGACAGUGGCCUGGAAGGCAGAUAGCAGCCCCGUCAAGGCGGGAGUGGAGACCACCACACCCUCCAAACAAAGCAACAACAAGUACGCGGCCAGCAGCUACCUGAGCCUGACGCCUGAGCAGUGGAAGUCCCACAAAAGCUACAGCUGCCAGGUCACGCAUGAAGGGAGCACCGUGGAGAAGACAGUGGCCCCUACAGAAUGUUCAUAGGUUCUCAUCCCUCACCCCCCACCACGGGAGACUAGAGCUGCAGGAUCCCAGGGGAGGGGUCUCUCCUCCCACCCCAAGGCAUCAAGCCCUUCUCCCUGCACUCAAUAAACCCUCAAUAAAUAUUCUCAUUGUCAAUCA